Molecule: non-coding RNA, 3013 nt
Organism: Podarcis muralis (Common wall lizard)
Lineage: Eukaryota; Metazoa; Chordata; Lepidosauria; Squamata; Lacertidae
Source: RefSeq, a predicted model, not a curated record
AAUAUACACAUUUUCGCUGAGCAAUUUCCUGAAAUACAAUGCUUUUUGUAUGUUGUUUUCACAAAUAUAAGCAUUUCAGCACACAACUUUGCCCUAGGCCUUUAGAGAUGAAGUGAACACAAAUUUCUCCCCCUCACUAUCAGGGCUGUUGAUGAAACAAUCAUGACCUCCAAAGCUGACCUUAAGGCCCAGGCCCGUUUGUGUGGAAGUCAAUUCAAGUGGUGAUUCCCACACACACCCAAGGAAGUGUGUAUCUGUGUGUGUAAAAUAGACACCAAAAAUUUAAGCGCCGGAUUAAACUGCGGCAUCAACCGCGCUGGGGGAAACUGGGGUCAGAAUCUAGGGCUGACCCCGAUAGAAUCAGCAGGAGACCCCCCAGAUUCACUUCAGGGGGGGGAACUCAGGUCUCCCAAUCUCGCCCACCCAUCUGCCUCUCCCUUCCUUCGCAGCGCCUAGUGCCAGAGAGACCUUUUGUGAUCGCCUAGCGGCUGAAAUCCAACCUCCCCUUUGACACAUUAAUAAGUCAGCGCUUCAAACCAACUCACAAGGCAACCUCUCCCUGAGCUGUUUAAAACCCUCUUGCGUGGCGAUUAGCUCCCGGUAAUCAGGGCGCCAAAGCAUCAAGGCUUCAUCCCAAGGCGUUCAAGAAGAAACUCUAGAUGCAGAAAGGGCGAUUCUUUUGCCGCAAACAGCAACUGGCCGAGGGUCCCCGCGGAGCGCUGGGACCUUUAAGGAUGACCCUGCACCUCUAGAUUCUCCACCUGGAUGUCCCCAGCGAUUCCCCGGCUCUAAAACCCACCAAGGAAGGCAUUUGGGGUGUAUAAAAAAGCCAGGUGGCUCGCGUCUGCGAAGCCCUGCAGGAGAGCGGAGAAUUUGAGCGCCUCGCCCGCUUCCUGUGGUCCCUCCCGCCGUCGCUCGCCCUACGGCACCCCGAAGGCCUCGGCUGCACUCACGCCAAUUGCCAUGACUUGGAGUUGUUCAGCAGCCCGAUUCCCUCGGCUGCGUGGUUGGCGCCCUACUGCAGCCAGGCCACUGUGGCCACCUACCACCUGGAACCGUUCGGCGCCCUGCGGCCCGGAGACAGGUUCUCGAUACAUCCGCCAGACCGAUCACCUGCCCGGAAGAAGGUCCCUGGUCUGCCGAGGGAUUCCUGCCAAGAUGGGGAGCAGAAAGUGAAUGGCUUCAAGGAAAGGACGCGGAACCUCCUGCGGGAGUGGUACCUCCAGGAUCCGUACCCUAACCCUUCCCGCAAGAGGCACCUGGCCCAGGCGACAGGGCUCACCCCCACCCAAGUGGGGAACUGGUUUAAAAACCGCCGGCAGAGAGACCGCGCAGCAUCAGCCAAGCACAGGCUGCAAAAGGAGCCGUCAACCCAGCCUAGAGACGUCCAAACCGAGACCCUAAACAGCAAGCUGUGCUUGGAGGAAGAGAGCAGCGCACCUGGGGAGCAGACGGAUCCCACCACAGCCACCAGUGACGAUGAAAACAGCCAAAGAGCAGGGGAGACCUGGGAAGACUGAUCCAGCCGAGGGGUUCUCUGUUCAACAGAAAUGACUGGCUGGGGUGUGUGGGAGACGCAGGGCACGACCAAUGGGAAUGAGAUGCAGUCAUCACGAACCCCAUUACUUAUGGAAUGGGGUUGGGGAGGUUUUAAGGAAAGGGAACCAGGUGCAAGAUUGAGGGUGUGGCAGGAAUUGUGGGAACGGAGAGUUUAUUGGCUAACUUCCCUGUUAUCCCGCUUGCCUUCCCCUGAGCAGCUUUGCAGCGCUGGCGUCCUUCGAAGGAGAUAAAACUGGAGUCUUGUUGCCACUUUACAAAAAAUAGGUUUAUUUGCCUCGAGAGAAGGGGCGCCAGGACCCGGGCUUAAGAAGUACAGCAGUGAAGACUCCAGGCUUUCUUCUCUCAAGCCUGCCUUGGGCAGCAUCUAAUUUAACCAGAAUGAAACAAUAAGCCUCCCCAGAUCUUGACUUCACACCACCAGGCCCUUUUGUAGUUCUCUGGGUCCUAAACCAGUGGGAGGGCAGGGCUCCCUGCUCAUGAAGGCAUCCAGGAUGACGGUGUUGCUGAGUCUGUAGCCAGGACUGGAGAGAAGAGGGCGAGGAGGAGCCAGGAGUGAGGGGAGAGGAAAUAGAUUUGGGAGGUUUCGGAGUUAAAGCAAAAGUGAAUGAGAAGUCAGGAGAGUAAGAGAACAUAUAUGGGGGUAUUUGUAGAUUAAAAAGAGGUCUGGGGCAGGGGUUAAGGAUGGAUGCACCUAUAUCAGUGAUGCUCUUGCUGAUUUUGGUCCAAAGGAAUGUCUGUUAAAUAACUGACAGCGCCAAUCACCUUUUGAGGAACGAUCGAAAGCAGCUUUCCGCACCUUUUUGGUCACUGGGUGUACUUUGUGGGAGACAUACCAGCAGCCAGGGCACUUGCAGCCGCACCUAGGGGUUGGGGCCCAGCCACUGUGUCCAUGAAGCUUUCGGCUAAACCCUUUGCAUCCCUCCAUCCCUCAGUUGAAACAAGAUGUCCGUACAGGUAACCUGCAUCUCCUUGCAUUAAUUCCUUGUUUAGUUUGGCUCAUCCCUCCGAUUUCAUCCUCUGCCACAUAAAUUUAGAUUGAGGUCUUCCCCGGAGGGGCGGGGGCUGCAGAGGCCUGUCUUUCAGGGUUGUUUGUUUAUCUCUCUCUGUGUAAACUGCUGAGUAUAUUUACGGCACAGUAUCAAUAAAACGAUUCUAUUCUAAUAUCUGGAGAGCGCCACUAAAAAUGCCAGCGCCGCAUUAAUAAAUGAUGGUGGCUUUGCAUUCCAGAGGCGAUGCGUCACUUAAAAACAAACAAAGGGAUGCUCAAGUGGCUCCCUAUUGCAGGCAUGAGGUUGAGAAGAGAAGCGUUUGGAAUGAGAAGGAAUGAAGGGAUACAGCUCUGAGCAACGCUUUCCAAAGGCUGGAACCCUGUGUAAUAAGAAGAGCUAAGGCAGGGGUCAGCAAACUUUUUCAGCAGGGGGCUGGUCCACUGUCCCUCAGAUUUUGUGGGGAG